CAGGGAGACAACAAAAUGUAAAUAUUAAUUUUGUCACCUUAGGUCGAUCGGUAUCUCAGAUUCUUAUUUUUUAAGAAUUUCAGUUUCUAAGUUUUUUCUAGGUCACACCCAUCACUUUUUCCUGGGCCAUUAGCUCAGGUGGUUAGAGCGCACCCCUGAUAAGGGUGAGGUCCCUGGUUCAAGUCCAGGAUGGCCCAUAUCUCUAUGUUGGGGGUAUAGCUCAGUUGGUAGAGCGCCUGCUUUGCAAGCAGGAUGUCAGCGGUUCGAGUCCGCUUACCUCCACUGAAUACCACCUCUUACAUAUAUUUAAAGAGGGAAAUUGUUUUGAGUCGUGUCCUAUUUUGCUCUGAGCGAAUCUAGCUUCCUAUUUUAUUAAAUAAAUAAGAUGCUGGACUCAUUGAAUUUUUUUUCAUUGUUUUCAGAGAACCUUGACAACUGCAUAGAUUAUUUUUGAAGACAAUAAGCAUCUUUAAUGAUGCAGAUUUAUUAUUUGUGCGAAUGCAUUAAAUAACAAUUCUAUUAAGCUGAUGCUUCAAUUAUUGAAGUUAUU
RNAcentral lists this transfer RNA (550 nucleotides) under uncultured Prochlorococcus sp. RNAcentral describes it as "partial 16S-23S ribosomal RNA intergenic spacer". The stretch from base 210 to 282 matches the Rfam family "tRNA". The record is from RNAcentral. Lineage: Bacteria; Bacillati; Cyanobacteriota; Cyanophyceae; Synechococcales; Prochlorococcaceae.